GCAAUUACACUAGUUGCUCAUUCUUCAUUUCCUCCUACUGUAGCUGCCACGUUUUUAUCUCAAAGAUGGCAGCAUUCCAUUGAUCGGUAAUAGAAUUGUUGUGUACAACACCCAGAUCCAUGGGGAUGAAGACACAUAAAUGUCAGGGAUUAUUAGCAGCCUAACUUUGCAGGAAUAACUGGAUUUGAGGUCAAUUACUAAAACUUGUCAUUAGAAUGAUAGCAAUGCUAUUUACCUUCUUGAUUUUGAGCAAAGGGAACAGAACAUUCAUUCUCAUUUAUAGAUGCUUUAGCGUUUCUACUGUGACAUCAGAUGCCACCCCAUAAUGUCGUACAACAGGAGAAAAAUCUGAGCUAAUUUUCGUUUAUGCAAGAAUCUGAAAAAUGCAAUAAAAAAAUUCACAAAGGCCACUGUUGUGGACUAGACCUUCACUACUAACUCAGUGAGAAGAUACACCUGGAACAAACUGGUCUUCAACCACUACCUUCUUCAAAGAACAAAACAAACGCAUCAAGUUUUGCCUCCACUGGCUCUUCAGUGGAAAAUUCUAUCACCUGCUGUUUUUCUACAUGUUCAAACUGAAUAAUCUGAGACUAAAACCAGUCAAGCAACUCCUCCAGUUUUAAGCAUGCAUUACUCUCCUGUCACAACCAUGCCACAGAAACGGAUGAAAUACUGUGGCAUUAAAUAGACUGUACCUCAAAUGAGCAAUUUUCUAGUACAAUAAAGGUGUAAGUACACCAGGUUCAGUUUAAGUACAA
Mauremys reevesii (Reeves's turtle) is the source of this 761-nucleotide long non-coding RNA. RefSeq lists it as uncharacterized. The record is from RefSeq and is a predicted model, not a curated record. The transcript has 2 exons. NCBI's taxonomy places the organism in Eukaryota, Metazoa, Chordata, Testudines, Geoemydidae.